RNAcentral lists this ribosomal RNA (578 nucleotides) under uncultured bacterium. Its description in RNAcentral is "partial 16S ribosomal RNA". It matches the Rfam family "Bacterial small subunit ribosomal RNA", at positions 355 to 939 of the family's 1533-position model. The record is from RNAcentral.
UGGGGAAUAUUGCACAAUGGGCGAAAGCCUGAUGCAGCAACGCCGCGUGAGUGAUGAAGGCCUUCGGGUUGUAAAGCUCUGUCUUUUGGGACGAUAAUGACGGUACCAAAGGAGGAAGCCACGGCUAACUACGUGCCAGCAGCCGCGGUAAUACGUAGGUGGCAAGCGUUGUCCGGAUUUACUGGGGCGUAAAGGAUGCGUAGGGCGGAUUUUUAAGUGAGAUGUGAAAUACCCGGGCUUAACUUGGGUGCUGCAUUUCAAACUGGGAAUCUAGAGUGCGGGAGAGGAGAAUGGAAUUCCUAGUGUAGCGGUGAAAAUGCGUAGAGAUUAGGAAGAACACCAGUGGGCGAAAGGCGAUUCUCUGGACCGUAACUGACGCUGAGGCAUGAAAGCGUGGGUAGCAAAACAGGAUUAGAUACCCUGGUAGUCCACGCCGUAAACGAUGAGUACUAGGUGUAGGAGGUAUCGGACCCCUUUCUGUGCCGCAGUUAAACACAAUAAGUACUCCGCCUGGGGAAGUACGAUCGCAAGAUUAAAAAACUCAAAAUGAAUUGACGGGGGUCAAUAGCUGUUUUUCC